Molecule: non-coding RNA, 77 nt
Organism: Podarcis lilfordi (Lilford's wall lizard)
Lineage: Eukaryota; Metazoa; Chordata; Lepidosauria; Squamata; Lacertidae
Source: the annotation of a GenBank genome assembly
UUCUCAGGGACAGCUCAGACAGUAGUAGCAUGAGGCUCUUAAUCUCAGGGUCAUGGGUUCAAGUUCCAUACUGGAAG